GACGAACGCUGGCGGCGUGCUUAACACAUGCAAGUCGAACGGUAAGGCCCUUCGGGGUACACGAGUUGCGAACGGGUGAGUAACACGUGGGUGAUCUGCCCUGCACUUCGGGAUAAGCCUGGGAAACUGGGUCUAAUACCGGAUAGGACUCCGGACUGCAUGGUCUGGGGUGGAAAGCUUUUGCGGUGUGGGAUGGGCCCGCGGCCUAUCAGCUUGUUGGUGGGGUGAUGGCCUACCAAGGCGACGACGGGUAGCCGGCCUGAGAGGGUGACCGGCCACACUGGGACUGAGGUACGGCCCAGACUCCUACGGGGGGCAGCAGUGGGGAAUAUUGCACAAUGUGCGCAAGCCUGAUGCAGCGACGCCGCGUGAGGGAUGACGGCCUUCGGGUUGUAAACCUCUUUCAGCAUCGACGAAGCGAAAGUGACGGUAGGUGCAGAAGAAGGACCGGCCAACUACGUGCCAGCAGCCGCCGCGG
RNAcentral lists this ribosomal RNA (478 nucleotides) under uncultured bacterium. RNAcentral's name for it is "partial 16S ribosomal RNA". It matches the Rfam family "Bacterial small subunit ribosomal RNA", at positions 28 to 523 of the family's 1533-position model. The record is from RNAcentral.